RNAcentral lists this ribosomal RNA (728 nucleotides) under uncultured Actinomycetes bacterium. RNAcentral describes it as "bacterial SSU rRNA". It matches the Rfam family "Bacterial small subunit ribosomal RNA", at positions 28 to 768 of the family's 1533-position model. The record is from RNAcentral. Lineage: Bacteria; Bacillati; Actinomycetota; Actinomycetes.
GACGAACGCUGGCGGCGUGCUUAACACAUGCAAGUCGAACGGAAAGGCUCCAGCUUGCUGGAGUACUCGAGUGGCGAACGGGUGAGUAACACGUGGGCAAUCUGCCCUGCACUCUGGGAUAAGCCUGGGAAACUGGGUCUAAUACUGGAUAGGACCUUUCUCCUCAUGGGGUUUGGUGGAAAGUUUUUCGGUGCAGGAUGAGCCCGCGGCCUAUCAGCUUGUUGGUGGGGUAAUGGCCUACCAAGGCGACGACGGGUAGCCGGCCUGAGAGGGUGAUCGGCCACAUUGGGACUGAGAUACGGCCCAGACUCCUACGGGAGGCAGCAGUGGGGAAUAUUGCACAAUGGGCGGAAGCCUGAUGCAGCGACGCCGCGUGAGGGAUGACGGCCUUCGGGUUGUAAACCUCUUUCAGUAGGGACGAAGCGUAAGUGACGGUACCUGCAGAAGAAGCACCGGCUAACUACGUGCCAGCAGCCGCGGUAAUACGUAGGGUGCGAGCGUUGUCCGGAAUUACUGGGCGUAAAGAGCUCGUAGGCGGUUUGUCACGUCGUCUGUGAAAUCCUAGGGCUUAACCCUGGACGUGCAGGCGAUACGGGCUGACUUGAGUACUACAGGGGAGACUGGAAUUUCUGGUGUAGCGGUGGAAUGCACAGAUAUCAGGAAGAACACCGAUGGCGAAGGCAGGUCUCUGGGUAGUAACUGACGCUGAGGAGCGAAAGCAUGGGUAG